This 460-nucleotide ribosomal RNA is filed under the name uncultured bacterium. RNAcentral describes it as "partial 16S ribosomal RNA". It matches the Rfam family "Bacterial small subunit ribosomal RNA", at positions 338 to 795 of the family's 1533-position model. The record is from RNAcentral.
CCUACGGGGGGCAGCAGUGAGGAAUAUUGGUCAAUGGACGAGAGUCUGAACCAGCCAAGUAGCGUGAAGGAUGACUGCCCUAUGGGUUGUAAACUUCUUUUAUAUGGGAAUAAAAUGUUCCACGUGUGGGAUUUUGUAUGUACCAUAUGAAUAAGGAUCGGCUAACUCCGUGCCAGCAGCCGCGGUAAUACGGAGGAUCCGAGCGUUACCCGGAUUUAUUGGGUUUAAAGGGAGCGUAGGUGGAUUGUUAAGUCAGUUGUGAAAGUUUGGGGCUCAACCGUAAAAUUGCAGUUGAAACUGGCAGGCUUGAGUACAGUAGAGGUGGGCAGAAUUCGUGGUGUAGCGGUGAAAUGCUUAGAGAUCACGAAGAACUCCGAUUGCGAAGGCAGCUCACUGGACUGCAACUGACACUGAGGCGCGAAAGUGUGGGUAUCAAACAGGAUUAGAUACCCGAGUAGUC